This 735-nucleotide ribosomal RNA is filed under the name uncultured Fusobacterium sp. RNAcentral describes it as "bacterial SSU rRNA". It matches the Rfam family "Bacterial small subunit ribosomal RNA", at positions 28 to 776 of the family's 1533-position model. The record is from RNAcentral. Lineage: Bacteria; Fusobacteriati; Fusobacteriota; Fusobacteriia; Fusobacteriales; Fusobacteriaceae.
GAUGAACGCUGACAGAAUGCUUAACACAUGCAAGUCUACUUGAAUUUGGGUUUUUAACUUAGAUUUGGGUGGCGGACGGGUGAGUAACGCGUAAAGAACUUGCCUCACAGCUAGGGACAACAUUUAGAAAUGAAUGCUAAUACCUGAUAUUAUGAUUUUAAGGCAUCUUAGAAUUAUGAAAGCUAUAAGCACUGUGAGAGAGCUUUGCGUCCCAUUAGCUAGUUGGAGAGGUAACAGCUCACCAAGGCGAUGAUGGGUAGCCGGCCUGAGAGGGUGAUCGGCCACAAGGGGACUGAGACACGGCCCUUACUCCUACGGGAGGCAGCAGUGGGGAAUAUUGGACAAUGGACCGAGAGUCUGACCCAGCAAUUCUGUGUGCACGAUGAAGUUUUUCGGAAUGUAAAGUGCUUUCAGUUGGGAAGAAAAAAAUGACGGUACCAACAGAAGAAGUGACGGCUAAAUACGUGCCAGCAGCCGCGGUAAUACGUAUGUCACAAGCGUUAUCCGGAUUUAUUGGGCGUAAAGCGCGUCUAGGUGGUUAUGUAAGUCUGAUGUGAAAAUGCAGGGCUCAACUCUGUAUUGCGUUGGAAACUGUGUAACUAGAGUACUGGAGAGGUAAGCGGAACUACAAGUGUAGAGGUGAAAUUCGUAGAUAUUUGUAGGAAUGCCGAUGGGGAAGCCAGCUUACUGGACAGAUACUGACGCUGAAGCGCGAAAGCGUGGGCAGCAAACAGG